This 313-nucleotide ribosomal RNA is filed under the name uncultured Microgenomates group bacterium. RNAcentral's name for it is "bacterial SSU rRNA". It matches the Rfam family "Bacterial small subunit ribosomal RNA", at positions 28 to 351 of the family's 1533-position model. The record is from RNAcentral.
GAUGAACGUUGGUGACGUGCUUGAGAUAUGCAAGUCGAGCGACCCUAGCGCAAGCUAGGGAGCGGCGGACGGCUGAGUAAUGCGUAGGUAUCUACCCCUAGGUGGGGAAUAGCUCCGAGAAAUCGGAGAUAAUACCCCAUAGUUCCCGCCUCUGGCGGGAUAAAGGUCGUAACUGAUCGCCAAGGGAGGAGCCUUCGUCCUAUCAGGUAGUUGGUAGGGUAACGGCCUACCAAGCCUAUGACGGGUAGCUGGUCUAGGAGGAUGACCAGCCAGAGGGGCACUGAGAUACGGGCCCCACUCCUACGGGAGGCAG